RNAcentral lists this small nucleolar RNA (126 nucleotides) under Castor canadensis (American beaver). The record is from RNAcentral. Lineage: Eukaryota; Metazoa; Chordata; Mammalia; Rodentia; Castoridae.
GAGCACUGUUCGUAACCUGUCAGUCUGGCUGUAUCUGGUGGGUUCCAUUCCAGUGCUAAAGCAUUUCCAGCGACACAUGACUGACUGGCUGACGGUGGCUUUCAGUUUCAGGUCCUGGAGACACUC